UACGAAGGGGGCUAGCGUUGCUCGGAAUCACUGGGCGUAAAGGGCGCGUAGGCGGACUCUUAAGUCGGGGGUGAAAGCCCAGGGCUCAACCCUGGAAUUGCCUUCGAUACUGAGAGUCUUGAGUUCGGAAGAGGUUGGUGGAACUGCGAGUGUAGAGGUGAAAUUCGUAGAUAUUCGCAAGAACACCAGUGGCGAAGGCGGCCAACUGGUCCGAUACUGACGCUGAGGCGCGAAAGCGUGGGGAGCAAACAGGG
RNAcentral lists this ribosomal RNA (254 nucleotides) under uncultured bacterium. RNAcentral's name for it is "partial 16S ribosomal RNA". It matches the Rfam family "Bacterial small subunit ribosomal RNA", at positions 524 to 777 of the family's 1533-position model. The record is from RNAcentral.